This 27-nucleotide small RNA is filed under the name Bombyx mori (domestic silkworm). RNAcentral's name for it is "ovarian small RNA-30975". Lineage: Eukaryota; Metazoa; Arthropoda; Insecta; Lepidoptera; Bombycidae. The record is from RNAcentral.
UGAAGGUGAGUUUGGCGUCCACCGUGA